This 371-nucleotide ribosomal RNA is filed under the name uncultured Glomeromycotina. Its description in RNAcentral is "LSU rRNA". Lineage: Eukaryota; Fungi; Glomeromycota. The record is from RNAcentral.
UUGAAAGGGAAACGAUUGAAGUCAGUCGUACUUAUGGGUAAUCAGCCUUUUGGGUGUGAUUUUGUGGAGCGUGAUGAGUUAAACGCCUUCAUGCCUGCAUAUUCGUGCACUUUGGGUGUACUUGCCCGUGUGUAAGUUAACAUCAAUUUUGGUGGUCAUAAAAUGGCUGGAGGAAUGUAGCUUCGAUCUUGUAUUGAAGUGUUAUAGCCUUCGGUAGAUGUGACGAUCGGGAUUGAGGAUUGCAACGGAUACCCUUCGGGGCUACCUGUCUGAUCUCUGAUUGUUGCUCUGGUGCCGAAAGCUUGCUUACGGUUAUUAAAGUCGAUGGUCAAUAGGUUAGAAUGGGUUAAAUUCGUUAAGGAUGUUGACGU